RNAcentral lists this ribosomal RNA (756 nucleotides) under uncultured Malassezia. RNAcentral's name for it is "eukaryotic LSU rRNA". The stretch from base 276 to 429 matches the Rfam family "5.8S ribosomal RNA". Lineage: Eukaryota; Fungi; Basidiomycota; Malasseziomycetes; Malasseziales; Malasseziaceae. The record is from RNAcentral.
GGUCAUUAGAGGAAGUAAAAGUCGUAACAAGGUUUCUGUAGGUGAACCUGCAGAAGGAUCAUUAGUGAAGAUUUGGGCAGGCCAUACGGACGCCAAAAAGUGUCCCUGGCCGCCUACACCCACUAUACAUCCACAAACCCGUGUGCACUGUCUUGGAGAAAGGCUUCAGAGAAGUUUUUUGUGGCCUCUCUUGGGGUCUUUCUUCGCUACAAACUCGAAUGGUUAGUAUGAACGUGGAACUUGGUUGGACCGUCACUGGCCAACAAACUAUACACAACUUUCGACAACGGAUCUCUUGGUUCUCCCAUCGAUGAAGAACGCAGCGAAACGCGAUAGGUAAUGUGAAUUGCAGAAUUCCGUGAAUCAUCGAAUCUUUGAACGCACCUUGCGCUCUAUGGCAAUCCGUAGAGCAUGCCUGUUUGAGUGCCAUGAAAUCUCCCACCCCAAGCGGUUUUUAAAUGAAACGGCUUGGCGGAUGGGGUCUGGAUGGGUGCCUCUGCCUGCGCUACCUAGCACAGGCUCGCCCGAAAUGCAUGAGCGCCUUGAGACACUUUGCAUCCGCCUCUCUGUUUGGGAGGAGGCGGCCAAGCAGUGUUUUUCUCCUGGCAUGGCAUGAUACGUCAUUUGCUAUGUCGCCUAAAGGAGGAAUGUUUGGUUGUGUCUGCGUGUGCUUCGAACUUGCCUCUGUGGCACAUCCCAAUUUCACUUCUGGUCUCAAAUCAGGUAGGAUCACCCGCUGAACUUAAGCAUAUCAAU